UCCUGGCGGACAAGUCCAAAAUAGGACGAAAUGCGCAUCCUGGAU
Molecule: non-coding RNA, 45 nt
Filed under: Trichobilharzia regenti
Lineage: Eukaryota; Metazoa; Platyhelminthes; Trematoda; Strigeidida; Schistosomatidae
Source: RNAcentral